AUGUUCUGCACCACCUCCGGCGUGGACAUGCCGGGCGCCGACUACCAGCUGGUCAAGCUGCUUGGCCUCCGGCUGUCUGUGAGGCGCGUCAUGCUGUACCAGCAGGGCUGCUACGCGGGAGGCACGGUGCUGCGCGUGGCCAAGGACCUGGCGGAGAACAACCGUGGCGCGCGUGUCCUCGUCGUCUGCUCGGAGAUCAUCGCCAUGUGCUUCCGAGGCCCCUCGGAAGCCCACAUUGACUCGCUGACCGGCCAGGCGCUCUUCGGAGACGGAGCCGCCGCGGUGAUCGUCGGUGCCGACCCCGACGUUCCCAUGGAGCGGCCGUUGUUCCAGCUGGUGUCGGCAAGCCAGACCAUAGUGUCCGGCACGGAUGGCUUCAUCGAAGGCCAGCUCCUUCCAGCUCCACAAGGAUGUGCCCCUGGCCAUCUCGAAGAACAUAGAGAGCGCGCCGGUAGCCGCCUUCGCGCCGCUGGGCAUCAACGACUGGAACUCCAUCUUCUGGGUGGCUCACCCUGGUGGGCCGGCGAUCCUAGACAUGGUGGAGGCGGAGGCCAAUCUCGACAAGAAGCGGAUGCAUGCCACCCGGCAUGUCCUCUCUGA
This 600-nucleotide ribosomal RNA is filed under the name Triticum aestivum (bread wheat). RNAcentral's name for it is "partial small subunit ribosomal RNA". Lineage: Eukaryota; Viridiplantae; Streptophyta; Magnoliopsida; Poales; Poaceae. The record is from RNAcentral.